This is a non-coding RNA of Phrynosoma platyrhinos (Desert horned lizard), 71 nucleotides long. NCBI's taxonomy places the organism in Eukaryota, Metazoa, Chordata, Lepidosauria, Squamata, Phrynosomatidae. The record is from the annotation of a GenBank genome assembly.
GCCAACAUGGUGUAGUGGAUUGAACAUUAGACUACAACUCUGGAGACCAGGGUUCAAAUCCUCUCUUGGCC